UUUCUUAUUACAGGAGAUACGACUGUAGUGUAAAGAAAAGGUUUUUUACCCCCAAACAUAUCUUGCAUACGUAUAAUAUGCAAAAAUGAAAGAUUAUGUCCAAUUUCGAUCGAUCUUAAUUAAUCCCUCGUUACUGCCCAUAGGAGAAGUAAUAGGUAGGGACGACAGGAUUUGAACCCGUGACAUUUUGUACCCAAAACAAACGCGCUACCAAGCUGCGCCACAUC
Molecule: transfer RNA, 227 nt
Filed under: Metroxylon sagu
Lineage: Eukaryota; Viridiplantae; Streptophyta; Magnoliopsida; Arecales; Arecaceae
Description: partial trnP-UGG
Source: RNAcentral